AGAAAUCUGGAAGCGAUAAAAGAAAGACUCAGCGACGGCAAUACACGCAACGUUAACGGAAAAGCAAUGGCAGCCUUGCACGUGCCUCACACAGAAGUGAGUUCACGGAACCGGCAGCCCCAGCGUUCAAGGGCGGGCUCAAGAUGUCAAUUUCAGCGUGAAAAUAGACGGAAAGGAUCAAGGAUUACAAGCAGUACACUGUGUUCUUAUCCUCUUUCUCGCAUCCUUCUCAUCUGGUACGUCCCAGCAGCUGCCAAAUUCGUCCUUCACGUCGAGCUGGAGUAAUCUCCGCUAUUCGCUCUUCCUAGGGACGAAAUCGAACAGUUGCACUCAUUUUCCCGUUUGAAGGCUGCGAUUUGGUACAACGUACAACCAGCUUUCUUUCGUCCUUAAGGAAAUUUUGAAUUUGGAAGGUUGAUUUUGGUUUUUCCCUUCUUACCCUUUUCCCCCCAAAACCGAAACCCAUUUCUUCCACUAUAUAUGCUCGUCUUCUGUUCUAAAAAAGGGGAUUUUUUUGAGAGGUGUAGAAUUGAAAAGGAAAAAAGAGAAAUCUGAAAAUCAGGUUACAAAUUCAUAUCAAAAUACCUUUGGGAAAGGAGAGGCAAUAGUGUUAGCGUUUUGAAGCGAUAUUCUGCUUAAAGUUUCCAACCCGUCGUUCAAAUUCGAGUCUUAGUGUCGGAGUUCGCUGCUUGUUUCCUUGCUCGAGUUCUCAGUUCUGCUGCCCAAAAGAAGAGUGUAAGUUGUUAUGACUAGGGGAUGUCUCUGAAAGUGAAAGGCUUGAUAGAUGUUUCCCAAGCUCAAGAAAAGGACCCUUAAUAUUCAAGGAUUUCCUAUGUCAAGUUCUUAUUCAACUUUAUGUAAUAGCUUACAUAUUAUUUUAUGUUGUUAAGGGUUGUGUCCCUAUUCUACUCUAUUGUUUUUUAGUCUAAGAUUGCAAAAGAGACAUAGAGUCUAACUAUGUAUUAUGAUAUUUUAGUAUAUAUGAAGCGAUGUUCUAGCA
Molecule: long non-coding RNA, 1000 nt
Organism: Solanum pennellii
Lineage: Eukaryota; Viridiplantae; Streptophyta; Magnoliopsida; Solanales; Solanaceae
Exons: 2
Source: RefSeq, a predicted model, not a curated record